UACGGAGGGUGCGAGCGUUGUCCGGAAUCACUGGGCGUAAAGGGCGCGUAGGCGGCCCGGUAAGUAGGGGGUGAAAUCUUGCGGCUUAACCGCAAGGCUGCCUUCUAAACUGCCAGGCUCGAGCACAGUAGAGGCAGGUGGAAUUCCUGGUGUAGCGGUGAAAUGCGUAGAUAUCAGGAGGAACACCUGUGGCGAAAGCGGCUCACUGGACCAUAACUGACGCUGAGGAGCGAAAGCGUGGGGAGCAAACAGG
Molecule: ribosomal RNA, 253 nt
Filed under: uncultured bacterium
Lineage: Bacteria
Description: partial 16S ribosomal RNA
Rfam family: Bacterial small subunit ribosomal RNA
Source: RNAcentral